AUGUUUCAAUAUGGAUGGAAGUCCUUUAACAACACAUUUUGUUUGUUCUGCAGGAUCACUUCAAACCAGAUUGUUGGCAAGAUGGAAUACAGCUUCCAGGAUGGAGAUGUCAUACAACCAGUCAGUUUCCUCAAUGAGCUACGUCAACCAACCACUACAACAGUUUUUCCAGAAACAACAGCAGUGUUUCUGUUACUACUCCCAACCUCAUGUAAAAUUGUGGUUUUCUAUUUUGAGAGAAAUCAUAAAUGUACAAGUCAUAAUUUCAAUAGAAAAAAUGGAUGUACAUUAAACAAACGUUUUACAUUUACAGAUCUGGUUCAGCAGUGGUCACAAAGCAAGCUGGUGUUCAACUCCUCAUCUCCAGUGCCCAGUGAAUCUCUGGUCCUCAGUGCUAUCAAUACUCUCCGUCAUUCCAGAGAGUCACAGCUCAAUGAAUCGGUGAAGGUGCUGAAUGUCACCUAUGAGAAAAUCUCAGAAACCUCCUAUGCUGUGGUCUUUACAUUUAACGUGAUUAACAUCAGCAUGCCAGAGGACCCUGUGUCUAGAGGCAACACCAGCCAGAAAGUACAGGAUACCAUCAAUAAUGCGGUAAACGUCAAAAAUUAACAUUUUAAUACUACUUAGAUUCAAUGCCAGUGUUCUCCAGAAACUGAUGAAUGGUUUUGAUUUUCCCCUUCAGCUGAACACUCUUCUGAAUGAACCCGGAAGUCCAACUUUACAAACCAAGACCUCCAACUUCACGUAAGAUGCAAAUUAAUUUCACAGACUUGGCUUCAUGUGUCCUUGCAUUUUAACUUUAUUGAAGCCACAUAACGUUACAAAUACCAAAAAAAACAAAAACAAGAAGUGGGUUAAAUUUCCUAAAUGAAACCUAUUAUUCGCCUUGUAGGAGCACUUCAAACCAGAUUAAUGGCAGGAUGGGAUACAGCUUCCAGAAUGGAGAUGUCAUACAACCAGUCAGCUUCCUCAAUGAGCUACGUCUACCAACCACUACAACAGUGUUCCAGUCACAACAACCAGUGUUUCUGUUACUACUCCAAAACUCAUGUAAAUUUUGGUUUUCUAUUUUAAGAAAAUUAAAAAUGCAAAAGUAAUGUUUUUAUGCAAAUAUAUUGAUGUAAAUUAAAUAAAAGUGUUUAUAUUUACAGAUCUGGUUCAGCAGUGGUCACAGGCAAGCUGGUGUUCAACUCCUCAUCUCCAGUGCCCAGUGAAUCUCUGGUCCUCAGUGCUAUCAAAUACUCUCCGUCAUUCCAGAGAGUCACAGCUCAAUGAAUCGGUGAAGAUAGUGAAUGUCACCUAUGAGAGUAAGUGUCAUCAUUUUCACUUCAAAAAUUUGAACCCAGACUGAGUCACCAAUCAUGUUUUACAGGCUUUUGUCAAAAAUUCUAAAAUUACCAUUUCCAUCCAAACAGAAAUCUCAGAAACCUCCUAUGCUGUGGUCUUUACAUUUAACGUGAUUAACAUCAGCAUGCCAGAGGACCCUGUGUCUAGAGGCAACACCAGCCAGAAAGUACAGGAUAAUCAAUAAUGCGGUAAACGUCAAAAAUUAACAUUUUAAUACUACUUAGAUUCAAUGCCAGUGUUCUCCAGAAACUGAUGAAUGGUUUGAUUUUCCCCUUCAGCUGAACACUCUUCUGAAUGAACCUGGA
RNAcentral lists this long non-coding RNA (1652 nucleotides) under Carassius auratus (goldfish). RNAcentral describes it as "lncRNA (ENSCARG00000000220.1)". Lineage: Eukaryota; Metazoa; Chordata; Actinopteri; Cypriniformes; Cyprinidae. The record is from RNAcentral.